Molecule: small nuclear RNA, 104 nt
Organism: Suncus etruscus (white-toothed pygmy shrew)
Lineage: Eukaryota; Metazoa; Chordata; Mammalia; Eulipotyphla; Soricidae
Source: RefSeq, a predicted model, not a curated record
GUGCUCGUCUUGGCAGCACAUAUACUAAAAUUGGAAUGAUACAGAGAAGAUUAGCAAGGCCCCUUCGCAAAAAAGUCCUGGUUGGGGUCAUAGACCUGGUCUUU